CAGAGGGUUAUUAUUUCUUUUGGCUGUCCCUAAAGGAUCCUAGAUCUGUGGCAGGAGAGGAAAGUUCAGCCCAGCUAAGAUUGCAUCACUGGAGCGGCCAAUAUGGCUUGAAGGCGAGCGCUCCUGGAGCUGUUCCAGCGGUCGAUGGACGUCGUUCCUAGGCCGGCACAGAACGCAGCAGGUAGCCUAGCACCUGGAUCACAGUUGGAGGGGCAUUGCUGGGGGUCAUGCUGAGCACAUUGGCAGGGAGUGGGUGGCGGCCGAAAGCUGCCUGCUCUGUGCGCUGAAUCGCCAGCACCAUUCUCCUGACAUGAGACAACUCCCCCGACCUUCUCUCCAGCCUGGGGCCUUCGACAGAACCCCCUGGCAUCAUCCCACACCCCCGUCCGGCCCAGCCCAGCCCCUUCCAUCCGCUGUGCAAACAGCCCUGCCACCAGCGCAGGGAAAUCCCCGCUCGAGAGCGAGGCCCACAGAGGGGAAGUGACUCACCCGAGGUCAGUGCUAGAGCUGGGAACAGGCCGCGGGAGGCCCGAUUCCCACCCCGAGCCUGAGCCUCCAGCCCGGGCAGCCGCUGCCUCCACGCAACGCUCUCGCUCCGCUGUGGUCUGUGCCCACGCCCCUCUCACAACGGCAUCCCCCAUAAAUCACUUGGCCGCUCAGCAGAGCACUGUCACGGGGCAGGUCUGCG
This is a long non-coding RNA of Mauremys reevesii (Reeves's turtle), 688 nucleotides long. RefSeq lists it as uncharacterized. The transcript is spliced from 3 exons. The record is from RefSeq and is a predicted model, not a curated record. NCBI's taxonomy places the organism in Eukaryota, Metazoa, Chordata, Testudines, Geoemydidae.